This is a long non-coding RNA of Cebus imitator (Panamanian white-faced capuchin), 420 nucleotides long. RefSeq lists it as uncharacterized. NCBI's taxonomy places the organism in Eukaryota, Metazoa, Chordata, Mammalia, Primates, Cebidae. The record is from RefSeq and is a predicted model, not a curated record. The transcript has 3 exons.
ACGCGCAGUAGACAUUCCAUGACUUCCGGGCACUGCGUAAGGUUUAAAUAAGGAUGCUUUGCAGUAGCUCGGCCUCUUGCAGACAGAGUCGCAACCGUGGGUUCUUCGGCUCGGAUUCGUUAAGUAUUCCAAGUAACACUUGGAAAGAAGAGGAUCUGCACUUCACAUUGGGCAUUGACAUUUAAAUUUUUGGGUCCUUUAUAUAGAAGGGAGAGAAGGUAAACUUUUUUUUUUUUAACAGGGAGGGUUUUGCAGUCUUGGGCAGACUGGGAGAAGUGUUGCUUGACCUUAUACAACCGAUUUUGGCAGGUGUGUUAAAGUCCUUGAGUAUUUUGCUUUUGUAUAAUUUCUAAUGUAUUUGUAAUUUGCCUAAGAAAUCACCUGUGUUAAUGUAUUUAUGAAAUAAAAGAUGACUGUACA